RNAcentral lists this ribosomal RNA (465 nucleotides) under uncultured bacterium. RNAcentral describes it as "partial 16S ribosomal RNA". It matches the Rfam family "Bacterial small subunit ribosomal RNA", at positions 338 to 795 of the family's 1533-position model. The record is from RNAcentral.
CCUACGGGUGGCAGCAGUGGGGAAUAUUGCGCAAUGGGCGAAAGCCUGACGCAGCGACGCCGCGUGAGGGAUGAAGGUCUUCGGAUCGUAAACCUCUGUCAGCAGGGAAGAACGGUCACUGUGCUAAUCAGCAGUGAAUUGACGGUACCUGCAAAGGAAGCACCGGCUAACUCCGUGCCAGCAGCCGCGGUAAUACGGAGGGUGCGAGCGUUAAUCGGAAUUACUGGGCGUAACGCGCUCGUAGGCGGUCUGUCAAGUCAAGGGUGAAAUCCCCGCGCUCAACGUGGGAACUGCCUUUGAAACUGGCAGACUGGAGUGUGUGAGAGGAUAGUAGAAUUCCAGGUGUAGGAGUGAAAUCCGUAGAUAUCUGGAGGAACAUCAGUGGCGAAGGCGACUAUCUGGCACAUAACUGACGCUGAGGAGCGAAAGCGUGGGUAGCAAACAGGAUUAGAUACCCUUGUAGUC